Molecule: ribosomal RNA, 497 nt
Filed under: uncultured bacterium
Lineage: Bacteria
Description: bacterial SSU rRNA
Rfam family: Bacterial small subunit ribosomal RNA
Source: RNAcentral
AGAGUUUGAUCAUGGCUCAGGACGAACGCUGGCGGCGUGCUUAACACAUGCAAGUCGAGCGGAAAGGCCCUUCGGGGUACUCGAGCGGCGAACGGGUGAGUAACACGUGAGUAACCUGCCCCAAACUUUGGGAUAACCCUCGGAAACGGGGGCUAAUACCGGAUAUGACUUACCCUCGCAUGGGGGUUGGUGGAAAGUUUUUCGGUUUGGGAUGGGCUCGCGGCCUAUCAGCUUGUUGGUGGGGUGAUGGCCUACCAAGGCGACGACGGGUAGCUGGUCUGAGAGGACGACCAGUCACACGGGGACUGAGACACGGCCCCGACUCCUACGGGAGGCAGCAGUGGGGAAUUUUCCGCAAUGGGCGAAAGCCUGACGGAGUGACGCCGCGUGUGGGACGAAGGCCUUCGGGUCGUAAACCGCCUUUCUCGAGGAAGACACCCGACGGUACUCGAGGCAUAAGCAACGGCUAACUACGUGCCAGCAGCCGCGGUAAUACA